RNAcentral lists this unclassified non-coding RNA (346 nucleotides) under soil metagenome. Its description in RNAcentral is "partial contains 5.8S ribosomal RNA, internal transcribed spacer 2, and large subunit ribosomal RNA". The stretch from base 1 to 120 matches the Rfam family "5.8S ribosomal RNA", at positions 35 to 154 of the family's 154-position model. The record is from RNAcentral.
GAUGAAGAACGCAGCGAAAUGCGAUACGUAAUGUGAAUUGCAGAAUUCAGUGAAUCAUCGAGUCUUUGAACGCACAUUGCGCCCCCUGGUAUUCCGGGGGGCAUGCCUGUCCGAGCGUCAUUGCUGCCCUCAAGCACGGCUUGUGUGUUGGGCCUCCGUCCUCCUCCCGGGGGACGGGCCCGAAAGGCAGCGGCGGCACCGCGUCCGGUCCUCGAGCGUAUGGGGCUUCGUCACCCGCUCUUGUAGGCCCGGCCGGCGCUUGCCGAUCAACCCAAAUUUUUAUCCAGGUUGACCUCGGAUCAGGUAGGGAUACCCGCUGAACUUAAGCAUAUCAAUAAGCGGAGGA